GACCUUGGAGGUUUAGAGGAGGCAAUAGGGGUCAAAAUUACUGAUUAAAAAAAGGUUGGAGGACUUUAAGUUAUUAUAAACUGUUUGUUCUAGAUUUACUUUUCACUGCCAUCAUAUGCCACAGGUGAUGGUUGCCACUGCUGUGUUCCCCUGAUGUGGUAUAAUGUGAUUGGCAACUGGAAAGUGAUUUCAAUAAGUAGUAGGGAUAGCAGUUUAGAGGGUCUUUUUCUAGGUGAUUUAGUCGUGACGAGGGCCAAGGCAUUUUAUUGGUCUGUUUCCUUCUAGUUUUAUGAUUUGACUGUCAUUUGAUCAUCGCAUAUUCAUUUGAAUUGAGAUGAUAUGAUCA
RNAcentral lists this unclassified non-coding RNA (346 nucleotides) under Hevea brasiliensis (rubber tree). Lineage: Eukaryota; Viridiplantae; Streptophyta; Magnoliopsida; Malpighiales; Euphorbiaceae. The record is from RNAcentral.